This 2455-nucleotide long non-coding RNA is filed under the name Daphnia pulicaria. RNAcentral's name for it is "uncharacterized LOC124350215, transcript variant X5". The record is from RNAcentral. Lineage: Eukaryota; Metazoa; Arthropoda; Branchiopoda; Diplostraca; Daphniidae.
CCAAGACCCCAAGAGAUGCCUCCUAGGGAAAAUGUCAAAAUGGUGGGAAAAAAUGGUGGAUAACGCCGUAACCCCGUAUCGGCAAAAGUGUGCUCCGUUUAACGUGGAUUUGUUCAUUUUCUUUAAACUGUGUCAUUAGGGGAUGGGUGGAAAAAUGAAUGAAUGUCGUUCGGCUGGAUCUGUGUAAUGGCCAUGAUCUGUGUCAACGUGGAUUCGUUAACUUACCAAAAGAAUGAAAGAAGCUUACAGACCACUUUUGAAGAAAGAAAUCUAAAAUUGUUAAUUUAUCCACUGCAAUUUCAAAUGCAGUGGAUGCAAUUGGUUCAAUUUUGUUGUCAGCAUAUUGAUCUUUUUCUUUUUCACUUCUCAAAUUGACUGAAACGAGUGAAACAUUUUCACACCACAAAUUGACCUAAACAUUAUUCAAACCUGUUGGGUUUCGGAGGUGGCAGUUAAGAGUAUGCCAGGUCGGGAAAUGGUAACAUAUUUUAAUGUUUUCUUCUUAAAAUAAUAUGUUUUCCUAGUAAAAUUAGCGAAAUUUCUGUUAGUUUUGAUCGCAUUGGAGUACAGUUUUAUUUUUUAUUAUCUAACAGGUCUGUUCAAGGUUUACAGCAAACUUAUAAAUUUGAUUUAAGUUAAACAUUUUAAAAGAAGUCUGUAGCCCAUCCUAAUUUUUCGUCCUUUAGGUUUCAACUCUUCCAAUUCCCUUUCAAGUUCUUUACAUUAAUUUUUUAAAAAGCAGUUAAAAGCAGAAAAAAAAUAUAGCUGCUAUCCAUGCUCCCCAUGCAUGUGCACAGUGAGGGGCUGUCUCCUAGUAUUCAUUUUAUCUUUGGUUAUUUUGAUCGAGGGAAUAUUUAGCUGGUGGUAAGCUGAAAAACUGUUUUGGCCUUUUUCAAAAUGGAGGAUUUACAGGAGCGUAUCUAGCCAAGCAAUUCCUCGCGCUAUGGAAGGACAUUUACGUCUUGCAAAACAUGAGCGUCAGCCGAUUGCCCAAAAUAACUGACAAUUCAUUUUCAGAUGACUGCUGCCCAUUCAACCAACAAAAGUUUGAGGCAACCAUAAUUCCAAAAGCUGGUUCAUUGCAAAACGCAUGUUGUCGAAAAAACUGACAAUUGGGAAGAAAUCGUCUGGUGAUGAAACUCUAGUCAUGGAGGACGUAAAUACGUGACUACUCGUUUCCCCAUCAAAUGAACGUUGCUGCAGUUUUGGCCAAGAUGGAAUUUGAAAGCUUCUUUAUCACGAGCUAUACUAUCCGAGGGAGAUGACUCCCACGAGGCCACGAUGCAGUUGUCAAACGAGUAUACGGUUAAACAAUUUAUAUCUGGAACUCGACAAACGCAUCACGCAUCUCUGCCUCCAACAACCACUGCUCUCUAACACAGCACGGAGUUUUGAUAUUUAGAUUGUCUGGCGGUUUCUUUAGGGAAGAUGAUAUUGCUGAGCAGAAUAUUGCCGCUAGAUGACUAGAAUGGCUUAGAUCGUUUUCAGCUUUUAGAUUGCGAGAAAGCAGAAAUAUUUCUGCGUUUUCAGAACGGAUAUAUUCAGGGAAGUACUUCUUUCAUUAAUCGAAUUAAAUUCUCUAUUAAAUAAUUAAUUUAGAUACAGAUUUUCGGUUGUUUCAAUUAACUUGAAAUUUUAAAAUUUAGUUCUGGCUUCUGGGACUGGACCGCGGGGUUGUUAUAGACCGAAGUGGCGAUGCAGUGACAACUGAAUUCACAUUGGCUGGGGCAGUGUAUGUGGGAGCGGUGAAAGUUGGAUUAUAGACUGGUUUGCUCCGAUCCGAAAUUGGCCCGUUUCAUCUGGAGACAGAACUAUUCUAACUUGGCUGAAGGAUUGAAUUUUGUGAGGUCGUGCGAACAAGAAAAACGGAACUUUGGCUACGGUGGCCACCUGCAGUCACUCACCACGGGAUUAUGGCCAGUUCAGGAAAAUUCUCGAUUUUGGCCAAAUUUUGGAUUUCGUUUUAAUCACACCUGAUCGACCCCAAAUUUUAUGGGGAUCACGAAUAUGUGGUUUAAUUUGAUGGCAGCUUAAUGGUUGAGGCACUGUGGUUACUUCCGGUAUACUUCCGGAAAAUAUUCGAAAAAUUAGCAAGUAAUGCAGAGGAGACGUCGAGAAGAUGGAUUUUCUCAUCUCUAAACAUCGUCACCGGUCUCCGUCGGAUGUUGCCCUGCUCGGUGCGAACGAAAGUCGGUGGAGUGAAUGGAUGUAAGAUUAAUGCGCCAACAAAAUACUUCUGGCAAUGGAAAUGGACAAUCGCUGGAAGUGGAAAGGGAUCAUCACUGGCAACGGAAAGGGACAAUCGCGACCGGCACCGAGACUCGUCAUCAACGGGAACAAUCGCGACCGGCACCGAGACUCGUCAUCAACGUGGAUCAUCGUAUUGUUGGUAUUAUUUCGUUUGUGUCAGUGUUAGUUAACCCGUUAGCUGCCACGCCUUUGUUCUCCCCUAGCU